This 947-nucleotide ribosomal RNA is filed under the name uncultured bacterium. RNAcentral describes it as "bacterial SSU rRNA". It matches the Rfam family "Bacterial small subunit ribosomal RNA", at positions 523 to 1482 of the family's 1533-position model. The record is from RNAcentral.
AUACGGAAGGUCCGGGCGUUAUCCGGAUUUAUUGGGUUUAAAGGGAGCGUAGGCCGGAGAUUAAGCGUGUUGUGAAAUGUAGAUGCUCAACAUCUGAACUGCAGCGCGAACUGGUUUCCUUGAGUAGGCACAAAGUGGGCGGAAUUCGUGGUGUAGCGGUGAAAUGCUUAGAUAUCACGAAGAACUCCGAUUGCGAAGGCAGCUCACUGGAGCGCAACUGACGCUGAAGCUCGAGAGUGCGGGUAUCGAACAGGAUUAGAUACCCUGGUAGUCCGCACGGUAAACGAUGGAUGCCCGCUGUUGGUCUGAAUAGGUCAGCGGCCAAGCGAAAGCAUUAAGCAUCCCACCUGGGGAGUACGCCGGCAACGGUGAAACUCAAAGGAAUUGACGGGGGCCCGCACAAGCGGAGGAACAUGUGGUUUAAUUCGAUGAUACGCGAGGAACCUUACCCGGGCUUGAAUUGCAGAGGAAGGAUUUGGAGACAAUGACGCCCUUCGGGGCCUCUGUGAAGGUGCUGCAUGGUUGUCGUCAGCUCGUGCCGUGAGGUGUCGGCUUAAGUGCCAUAACGAGCGCAACCCCUCUCCUUAGUUGCCAUCAGGUUAAGCUGGGCACUCUGGGGGCACUGCCACCGUAAGGUGUGAGGAAGGUGGGGAUGACGUCAAAUCAGCACGGCCCUUACGUCCGGGGCUACACACGUGUUACAAUGGCAGGUACAGAGAGACGGUCCCUUGCAAAAUGGAUCAAAUCCUUAAAGCCUGUCUCAGUUCGGACUGGGGUCUGCAACCCGACCCCACGAAGCUGGAUUCGCUAGUAAUCGCGCAUCAGCCAUGGCGCGGUGAAUACGUUCCCGGGCCUUGUACACACCGCCCGUCAAGCCAUGAAAGCCGGGGGCGCCUAAAGUCCGUGACCGUAAGGAGCGGCCUAGGGCGAAACUGGUAAUUGGGGCU